Gorilla gorilla gorilla (western lowland gorilla) is the source of this 78-nucleotide small nucleolar RNA. The record is from Ensembl. Lineage: Eukaryota; Metazoa; Chordata; Mammalia; Primates; Hominidae.
UGGACCAAUGAUGAUGGCUGGUGGUGUAUGAGUUAAAGGUGAUGAAUAGUAAGUGUCUUUGUUAGUGGCAAGUUCAGA